ACCAAAAUAUAGCAAUAGCUAAUUUUGAAGCACAUCUCAAUAUGUUUAAUAAUACAUUUACAGCUUUUAACUUUAAUUUCCAGAAUUGAAAUUUCAGUACUAAGAAAUGAAAUUGGAGAACUGAGGCAGCUGUUGGAUCAAAAAUGACUUUGACAGGUUAUUCUUCUUUACUCAAAUCUUCCUAUCAGAAACUUUCAGGCUACUCUUGGAAAAGGUCAGAAUCUAUCCUAACAGUUACAUAAAAUAGUACAUUUAUGCUGAAUCUUGGCCAAUUCUCUCUAAGCGCAUUCCUGUUGGAAUCCAUCCAUCAUCUAUAAGAACCCCAAAUGAAGAAGUAAUCCUGUAGACAUUGAUAGCUGAGCUCAGAGCCCUCAGCUAACAUCAAAUGUAACCAUGCGUGUGAAUCACCUUGGACAUGUAGUCUUGUAGACCCUUCAUGUCAGUGCAUCCUUAGCUGGCAUCAAAUUACAACCUCAUUAAAACACCAGGAAAGAAUCUUGAAUUUAAGCUGUUACCCCCACAGAACACACUGAGUUUGGGGGCUAGGUUAUAUGAAGUUAUAUUCAACCCAAACUAUCACUAAGAAAAUGUUAGCAUGGUCCCAUAUCAAUACCAAC
This 617-nucleotide long non-coding RNA is filed under the name Felis catus (domestic cat). RNAcentral's name for it is "lncRNA (ENSFCAG00000041879.2)". Lineage: Eukaryota; Metazoa; Chordata; Mammalia; Carnivora; Felidae. The record is from RNAcentral.